AAAUUGAAGAGUUUGAUCAUGGCUCAGAUUGAACGCUGGCGGCAGGCCUAACACAUGCAAGUCGAACGGUAACAGGAAGCAGCUUGCUGCUUUGCUGACGAGUGGCGGACGGGUGAGUAAUGUCUGGGAAACUGCCUGAUGGAGGGGGAUAACUACUGGAAACGGUAGCUAAUACCGCAUAACGUCGCAAGACCAAAGAGGGGGAGCUUCGGGCCUCUUGCCAUCGGAUGUGCCCAGAUGGGAUUAGCUAGUAGGUGGGGUAA
RNAcentral lists this ribosomal RNA (263 nucleotides) under Escherichia coli. RNAcentral describes it as "partial 16S ribosomal RNA". It matches the Rfam family "Bacterial small subunit ribosomal RNA", at positions 1 to 260 of the family's 1533-position model. The record is from RNAcentral. Lineage: Bacteria; Pseudomonadati; Pseudomonadota; Gammaproteobacteria; Enterobacterales; Enterobacteriaceae.